GACGAACGCUGGCGGCGUGCUUAACACAUGCAAGUCGAACGGAAAGGCCCUGCUUUUGUGGGGUGCUCGAGUGGCGAACGGGUGAGUAACACGUGAGUAACCUGCCCUUGACUUUGGGAUAACUUCAGGAAACUGGGGCUAAUACCGGAUAGGAGCUCCUGCUGCAUGGUGGGGGUUGGAAAGCUUCGGCGGUUGGGGAUGGACUCGCGGCUUAUCAGCUUGUUGGUGGGGUAGUGGCUUACCAAGGCUUUGACGGGUAGCCGGCCUGAGAGGGUGACCGGCCACAUUGGGACUGAGAUACGGCCCAGACUCCUACGGGAGGCAACAGUGGAGAAUAUUGCACAAUGGGCGGAAGCCUGAUGCAGCCACGCCGCGUGCGGAAUGACGGCCUUCGGGUUGUAAACCGCUUUCGCCUGUGACGAAGCGUGAGUGACGGUAAUGGGUAAAGAAGCACCGGCUAACUACGUG
RNAcentral lists this ribosomal RNA (468 nucleotides) under uncultured bacterium. Its description in RNAcentral is "partial 16S ribosomal RNA". It matches the Rfam family "Bacterial small subunit ribosomal RNA", at positions 28 to 507 of the family's 1533-position model. The record is from RNAcentral.